CCUACGGGCGGCAGCAGUGGGGAAUAUUGCACAAUGGGGGAAACCCUGAUGCAGCGACGCCGCGUGAGUGAAGAAGUACUUCGUUAUGUAAAGCUCUAUCAGCAGGGAAGAAAAUGACGGUACCUGAGCAAGAAGCCCCGGCUAACUACGUGCCAGCAGCCGCGGUAAUACGUAGGGGGCAAGCGUUAUCCGGAUUUACUGGGUGUAAAGGGAGCGUAGACGGCAGUGCAGGUCUGGAGUGAAAGGCGGGGGCCCAACCCCGGGACUGCUCUGGAAACUGUAUGGCUGGAGUGCAGGAGAGGUAAGCGGAAGUCCUAGUGUAGCGGUGAAAUGCGUAGAUAUUAGGAGGAACACCGGUGGCGAAGGCGGCUUACUGGACUGUAACUGACGUUGAGGCUCGAAAGCGUGGGGAGCAAACAGGAUUAGAUACCCCUGUAGUC
This 440-nucleotide ribosomal RNA is filed under the name uncultured bacterium. Its description in RNAcentral is "partial 16S ribosomal RNA". It matches the Rfam family "Bacterial small subunit ribosomal RNA", at positions 338 to 795 of the family's 1533-position model. The record is from RNAcentral.